RNAcentral lists this ribosomal RNA (532 nucleotides) under uncultured bacterium. RNAcentral's name for it is "bacterial SSU rRNA". It matches the Rfam family "Bacterial small subunit ribosomal RNA", at positions 777 to 1308 of the family's 1533-position model. The record is from RNAcentral.
AAUAGAUACCCAGGUAGUCCACGCCGUAAACGAUGAGUGCUAAGUGUUAGGGGGUUUCCACCCCUUAGUGCUGCAGCUAACGCAUUAAGCACUCCGCCUGGGGAGUACGGUCGCAAGACUGAAACUCAAAGGAAUUGACGGGGGCCCGCACAAGCGGUGGAGCAUGUGGUUUAAUUCGAAGCAACGCGAAGAACCUUACCAGGUCUUGACAUCCCGCUGACCGCUAUGGAGACAUAGCCUUCCCUUCGGGGACAGCGGUGACAGGUGGUGCAUGGUUGUCGUCAGCUCGUGUCGUGAGAUGUUGGGUUAAGUCCCGCAACGAACGCAACCCUUGUCCUUAGUUGCCAUCAUUCAGUUGGGCACUCUAAGGAGACUGCCGUACAAAUACGGAGGAAGGUGGGGAUGACGUCAAAUCAUCAUGCCCCUUAUGACCUGGGCUACACACGUGCUACAAUGGACGGUACAAACGGUCGCGAAGUCGCGAGACGGAGCCAAUCCGAAAAAACCGUUCUCAGUUCGGAUUGCAGGCUGC